UACUCUGUAGAGUCUGCAUAUCAAUAAGCGGAGGAAAAGAAACUAACUAGGAUUCCCUUAGUAACGGCGAGUGAAGCGGGAAGAGCUCAAAUUUGAAAUCUUCAAGGUUCUACCUUGACGAAUUGUAGUUUAAAGAAGUGUUUUCUGUUGAAGUUUUGGUAAAAGUUCUUUGGAAUAGGACAUCAUAGAGGGUGAGAAUCCCGUAUUUGACCAGUUAUCUUCCAGCUGUGUGAUACACUUUCAAAGAGUCGGAUUGUUUGGGAAUGCAGUCCAAAAUGGGUGGUAAAUUUCAUCUAAAGCUAAAUAUUGGCGAGAGACCGAUAGCGAACAAGUACCGUGAGGGAAAGAUGAAAAGAACUUUGAAAAGAGAGUUAAACAGUACGUGAAAUUGUCAAAAGGGAAGCGUUUGACACCAGUGUUGUUUUCUCGAAAAUCAAUUACAAAUGGCCUGAUUUUGUGUUGUAUUGACUUUAUCAGCUUUCUGCACUUUUUUCUUGUCUUUUUUAAUGCACUUUUCGUUUAACAAGUCAACAUCAAUUUCUUUUGUUGUAAAAGAGUCAUUGGAAGGUGGCUUUCACUUCGGUGAAAGUGUUUAUAGCCUUUGACUUCUGCAAUCGGAGAGAUUGAGGUCUGCAGCGUAGAUCCUUCGGGGUUAGAUACAUUUGUGCUAAGUUAUAGUUUUUCAUAGACAACAUGUUGACUAUGAUUAAUCAUGUAGCUUACUCGCUUAUGCUAUUUUACCUACGCUUAGGAUGUUGAACGCGCACAGAGUCUC
RNAcentral lists this ribosomal RNA (775 nucleotides) under uncultured Neocallimastigales. RNAcentral describes it as "partial large subunit ribosomal RNA". It matches the Rfam family "Eukaryotic large subunit ribosomal RNA", at positions 24 to 614 of the family's 3401-position model. The record is from RNAcentral. Lineage: Eukaryota; Fungi; Neocallimastigomycota; Neocallimastigomycetes; Neocallimastigales.